GAUGAACGCUGGCGGCGUGCCUAAUACAUGCAAGUCGAGCGAACGGACGAGAAGCUUGCUUCUCUGAUGUUAGCGGCGGACGGGUGAGUAACACGUGGAUAACCUACCUAUAAGACUGGGAUAACUUCGGGAAACCGGAGCUAAUACCGGAUAAUAUUUUGAACCGCAUGGUUCAAAAGUGAAAGACGUUCUUGCUGUCACUUAUAGAUGUAUCCGCGCUGCAUUAGCUAGUUGGUAAGGUAACGGCUUACCAAGGCAACGAUGCAUAGCCGACCUGAGAGGGUGAUCGGCCACACUGGAACUGAGACACGGUCCAGACUCCUACGGGAGGCAGCAGUAGGGAAUCUUCCGCAAUGGGCGAAAGCCUGACGGAGCAACGCCGCGUGAGUGAUGAAGGUCUUCGGAUCGUAAAACUCUGUUAUUAGGGAAGAACAUAUGUGUAAGUAACUGUGCACAUCUUGACGGUACCUAAUCAGAAAGCCACGGCUAACUACGUG
Molecule: ribosomal RNA, 497 nt
Filed under: uncultured bacterium
Lineage: Bacteria
Description: partial 16S ribosomal RNA
Rfam family: Bacterial small subunit ribosomal RNA
Source: RNAcentral